GAUAACGUGGGCAACUGGCUGUAAAUCGGAAUAACUCCGGGAAAACGGAGCUAAUGCCGGGUAACCUGUUCUUUCGCAUGAAGGAACAUUAAAAGAUGGCUUCUUGCUAUCACUUACAGAUGGGCCCGCGGCGCAUUAUCUAGUUGGUGAGGUAACGGCUCACCSAGGCAACGAUGCGUAGCCGACCUGAGAGGGUGAUCGGCCACACUGGGACUGAGACACGGCCCAGACUCCUACGGGAGGCAGCASUAGGGAAUCUUCCGCAAUGGACGAAAGUCUGACGGAGCAACGCCGCGUGAACGAUGAAGGUCUUCGGAUCGUAAAGUUCUGUUGUUAGGGAAGAACAAGUACCGUGCGAAUAGAGCGGUACCUUGACGGUACCUAACGAGGAAGCCCCGGCUAACUACGUGCCAACAGCCGCGGUAAUACGUASGGGGCAAGCGUUGUCCGGAAWUAUUGGGCGUAAAGCGCGCGCAGGCGGUUCCUUAAGUCUGAUGUGAAAGGCCACGGCUCAACCGUGGAGGGCCAUUGGAAACUGGGGAACUUGAGGACAGAAGAGGAGAGUGGAAUUCCACGUGUAGCGGUGAAAUGCGUAGAUAUGUGGAGGAACACCAGUGGCGAAGGCGACUCUCUGGUCUGUUUCUGACGCUGAAGUGCGAAAGCGUGGGUAGCAAACAGGAUUAGAUACCCUGGUAGUCCACGCCGUAAACGAUGAGUGCUANGUGUUANGGGGCUUCCCCCCCUUAGUGCUGAAGUUAACGCAUUAAGCACUCCNCCUGGGGAGUACCGNCCCAANGCUGAAACUCAAAGGAAUUGACGGGGGCCCGCACAAACNGUGGAGCAUGUGGNUUAAUUCGAAGCAACGCGAANAACCUUCCAGGUCUUGACAUCUUUGGACCNCCUA
This 904-nucleotide ribosomal RNA is filed under the name Halobacillus salinus. Its description in RNAcentral is "bacterial SSU rRNA". It matches the Rfam family "Bacterial small subunit ribosomal RNA", at positions 111 to 1001 of the family's 1533-position model. Lineage: Bacteria; Bacillati; Bacillota; Bacilli; Caryophanales; Bacillaceae. The record is from RNAcentral.